This 264-nucleotide ribosomal RNA is filed under the name Triticum aestivum (bread wheat). RNAcentral's name for it is "partial small subunit ribosomal RNA". Lineage: Eukaryota; Viridiplantae; Streptophyta; Magnoliopsida; Poales; Poaceae. The record is from RNAcentral.
AUGGUGGCGCUUGGCGGCAGUGAAGCUCUAGGGCAGCGCGAGGACGAUGGGUGCGGGCACGAGAAUGAGGUAGGGCUCGGCAGAGGGAGGACAUCGGCAGAGGAAGGCAACGCGGAGCAGAGGCACGGAGUGGGGUCAGGAGAUCGGGCGCAGACGCGAGAGGAUUUGCGGUCUGCGUGCGGUUCCUGUGGGUGGCGGCGUGAGGAAGAUGGAGAUCGAGGAGAGGGAUCAAUGGAGAAGGGGUUCGAGCGUGGCUGGGCCUAG